UACGUAGGGUGCAAGCGUUUGUCCGGAAUUAUUGGGCGUAAAGAGCUCGUAGGCGGUCUGUCGCGUCUGCUGUGAAAACUCGGGGCUUAACCCCGGGCCUGCAGUGGGUACGGGCAGACUAGAGUGCGGUAGGGGAGAAUGGAACUCCUGGUGUAGCGGUGGAAUGCGUAGAGAUCCGGAAGAACACCGGUGGCGAAGGCGGGUCUCUGGGCCGAUACUGACGCUGAGGAGCGAAAGCGUGGGGAGCGAACAGG
RNAcentral lists this ribosomal RNA (254 nucleotides) under uncultured bacterium. RNAcentral's name for it is "partial 16S ribosomal RNA". It matches the Rfam family "Bacterial small subunit ribosomal RNA", at positions 524 to 776 of the family's 1533-position model. The record is from RNAcentral.